GUUUAAUUUUAGCAUGGUGACUACUGAGGCCAUGUUUUCUUAAGCAUUCAGGUGAUGAAAAUGAGGAAAUGGUGUUGCAAUAUCAAUGCCCGCGUGACCCAAAUGGCCAUGUUAUUUUAACGACAGGAGGAGUGACACAGACAACUGGAUGAGGGAGGCUGUAACUGAAAUAUCACGUGGGUGAACAAAGGGAGAAAUGUCGAUGGCAGCUGUGUUGACCCUUUACAACAUGCAGCGGAUUCUGCCAGAUCCCACCAACAAUCAUGCUUUCUACAGUAACCAAGUGCUGCAUCCAAUCAUGGCAAUGAAAAACAGUUCUCCUAACUUGUAAAUACUUUGAUUUGAAAAAAUGGAGUUUCAAAUCAUCCUUUUUAUUUCUAUGAAGAUUUUAAUCCACCUGCAGAAAAAAAAAAAGAAUGUUGAUGCUAUCUUGUCCAAAUACAAACAUGACUUUGCCCAUCUGUCUGCCUAUUUGGCAGACCGUGCAAAUGUAAAUUUUUGCAAAUUCCAUGCAGUCUAUGAACGCUUUACCAAAGAAAAGUUAAAAAUAUUAGCCACGAAGUGUCCUGCACAUUUUGUACACAUCAGUAAAAAGGGGUGGAGUUUCCUUCCCUGUGAUAUUGAUGCUUUCAAAAUGAAAGCUUUUAUUUACUUUUCAGUUUCCUCAAAGCAUGAAAAAGCACUUAAUGAGAUUUUUCACAUUCCAGAAAUGGAAGGAGAUGGCCUCCUUUGGACAUGUGCCUACACGAGGGCUGUCACUGUUGCCAGGGUAAAAAGGCA
Molecule: long non-coding RNA, 780 nt
Filed under: Homo sapiens (human)
Lineage: Eukaryota; Metazoa; Chordata; Mammalia; Primates; Hominidae
Description: non-protein coding lnc-IWS1-1:4
Source: RNAcentral